Molecule: ribosomal RNA, 253 nt
Filed under: uncultured bacterium
Lineage: Bacteria
Description: partial 16S ribosomal RNA
Rfam family: Bacterial small subunit ribosomal RNA
Source: RNAcentral
UACGUAGGGUGCGAGCGUUAAUCGGAAUUACUGGGCGUAAAGCGUGCGCAGGCGGUUAUAUAAGACAGAUGUGAAAUCCCCGGGCUCAACCUGGGAACUGCAUUUGUGACUGCAAAGCUGGAGUGCGGCAGAGGGGGAUGGAAUUCCGCGUGUAGCAGUGAAAUGCGUAGAUAUGCGGAGGAACACCGAUGGCGAAGGCAAUCCCCUGGGCCUGUACUGACGCUCAUGCACGAAAGCGUGGGGAGCAAACAGG